CCUGAAGUUGACAUUUUAUGGAGACUUCAACCCGAACCACAAAUCUUUAUUUGAAUUACUCAACAAGAACUUACAAGCAAAAUAUUUUCCAUGCACAAUAAUAUCCAUAAUAUCCACAAUGAAUUAGAUAAGCUAGUCUACCAACAAUUCAGAAUGUCCUUGAGAUCGGUCGUAGCAUCCCUUUGUGCAUAAUCAUCUACUGUAUUAUAUAUACCGAUAUACAUACAAUGCGUGUCUAUCCAUAUCUUUCCAUGGGAACGGGUAUAUUGUAGACAUAAGAAUGUUAUUACUGCAUUCCCUAAUAUUGUAACAUUAAAACUUUAACUGUUUGUUUUAGGGUUUUUUGUUUUUUG
Molecule: non-coding RNA, 353 nt
Organism: Paramuricea clavata
Lineage: Eukaryota; Metazoa; Cnidaria; Anthozoa; Malacalcyonacea; Plexauridae
Source: the annotation of a GenBank genome assembly